CCUACGGGUGGCUGCAGUGGGGAAUAUUGGACAAUGGGGGGAACCCUGAUCCAGCCAUGCCGCGUGUGUGAAGAAGGCCCUCGGGUUGUAAAGCACUUUCAGUGAGGAAGAACGCCUGGUGGUUAAUACCCAUCAGGAAAGACAUCACUCACAGAAGAAGCACCGGCUAACUCCGUGCACAGCAGCCGCGGUAAUACGGAGGGUGCGAGCGUUAAUCGGAAUUACUGGGCGUAAAGCGCGCGUAGGUGGCUUGAUAAGCCGGUUGUGAAAGCCCCGGGCUCAACCUGGGAACGGCAUCCGGAACUGUCAAGCUAGAGUGCAGGAGAGGAAGGUAGAAUUCCCGGUGUAGCGGUGAAAUGCGUAGAGAUCGGGAGGAAUACCAGUGGCGAAGGCGGCCUUCUGGACUGAAACUGACACUGAGGUGCGAAAGCGUGGGUAGCAAACAGGAUUAGAUACCCUAGUAGUC
This 466-nucleotide ribosomal RNA is filed under the name Vreelandella stevensii. RNAcentral's name for it is "partial 16S ribosomal RNA". It matches the Rfam family "Bacterial small subunit ribosomal RNA", at positions 338 to 795 of the family's 1533-position model. Lineage: Bacteria; Pseudomonadati; Pseudomonadota; Gammaproteobacteria; Oceanospirillales; Halomonadaceae. The record is from RNAcentral.